Long non-coding RNA from Nicotiana attenuata, 580 nucleotides. RefSeq lists it as uncharacterized. The record is from RefSeq and is a predicted model, not a curated record. NCBI's taxonomy places the organism in Eukaryota, Viridiplantae, Streptophyta, Magnoliopsida, Solanales, Solanaceae. The transcript has 4 exons.
UUUCCCUCUCCAGUUGUAUCGCUGCAUCGUUUCCCUCCCAAUUAGAAAACAAUUGAACUGAUUUCGUUUCCCUCCCAAGUUGAAUCGCUGCCAAAAAAAGAAACUAUCUAGCUGCUGCGUCAAAAACCCUAACACGCUGCUGCGUCAACUCCACUGCAUCAACGGUAGUGCGAUUUACAGUGUGUAAACAACAGUGGCCAUCUUCUUCCUAGAGACGUACCCUAGCAAAUAGAAACAAUAGGGCCAAGCAAACGAUGCCUCACACAGGAGGAUCAAAAAGUAUUGCCACCUUGAUGAAUGAGCAGAUCCCCGACGCCAAUAGUGGACAUGAACGAGUACCACAAACAUCAAGAAUGCCUAGUGUUGCUGAAAAUGCUCAACCUUCUCAUGUUUCAGGUCAUACAGUUUGAUGUUCGAUAAUUUAGAAGUUGGAAGAUUUCAAAAUGAUGAGAAGUUGCGGAAAUCAUUUGAAAGACCAUCAUUCUGGAUUAUUACUAUGAUGACAUUAGCUAUUUAGUCCAAAGAAUAUAUUUUUGUGUUUUAAGUUACGAUGAUAUUAAUAUUUUUGAUUAGUACUUCC